GUAAGGGUAAGAUCCCAGGAAGACUACCUGGUUGAUAGGUCGGAGGUGUAAGUGCAGCAAUGUAUGUAGCUUACCGAUACUAAUAGAUCGAGGACUUGACCAA
RNAcentral lists this ribosomal RNA (103 nucleotides) under Paraclostridium bifermentans. RNAcentral describes it as "partial 23S ribosomal RNA". It matches the Rfam family "Bacterial large subunit ribosomal RNA", at positions 2822 to 2925 of the family's 2925-position model. The record is from RNAcentral. Lineage: Bacteria; Bacillati; Bacillota; Clostridia; Peptostreptococcales; Peptostreptococcaceae.